This 497-nucleotide ribosomal RNA is filed under the name uncultured bacterium. Its description in RNAcentral is "partial 16S ribosomal RNA". It matches the Rfam family "Bacterial small subunit ribosomal RNA", at positions 28 to 507 of the family's 1533-position model. The record is from RNAcentral.
GAUAAACGCUGGCGGCGUGCCUAAUACAUGCAAGUCGAGCGAACGGACGAGAAGCUUGCUUUUCUGAUGUUAGCGGCGGACGGGUGAGUAACACGUGGAAAACCUACCUAUAAGACUGGGAUAACUUCGGGAAACCGGAGCUAAUACCGGAUAAUAUUUUGAACCGCAUGGUUCAAAAGUGAAAGACGGUCUUGCUGUCACUUAUAGAUGGAUCCGCGCUGCAUUAGCUAGUUGGUAAGGUAACGGCUUACCAAGGCAACGAUGCAUAGCCGACCUGAGAGGGUGAUCGGCCACACUGGAACUGAGACACGGUCCAGACUCCUACGGGAGGCAGCAGUAGGGAAUCUUCCGCAAUGGGCGAAAGCCUGACGGAGCAACGCCGCGUGAGUGAUGAAGGUCUUCGGAUCGUAAAACUCUGUUAUUAGGGAAGAACAUAUGUGUAAGUAACUGUGCACAUCUUGACGGUACCUAAUCAGAAAGCCACGGCUAACUACGUG